This 497-nucleotide ribosomal RNA is filed under the name uncultured bacterium. RNAcentral describes it as "partial 16S ribosomal RNA". It matches the Rfam family "Bacterial small subunit ribosomal RNA", at positions 28 to 507 of the family's 1533-position model. The record is from RNAcentral.
GAUGAACGCUGGCGGCGUGCCUAAUACAUGCAAGUCGAGCGAACGGACGAGAAGCUUGCUUUUCUGAUGUUAGCGGCGGACGGGUGAGUAACACGUGGAUAACCUACCUAUAAGACUGGGAUAACUUCGGGAAACCGGAGCUAAUACCGGAUAAUAUUUUGAACCGCAUGGUUCAAAAGUGAAAGACGGUCUUGCUGUCACUAUUAGAUGGAUCCGCGCUGCAUUAGCUAGUUGGUAAGGUAACGGCUUACCAAGGCAACGAUGCAUAGCCGACCUGAGAGGGUGAUCGGCCACACUGGAACUGAGACACGGUCCAGACUCCUACGGGAGGCAGCAGUAGGGAAUCUUCCGCAAUGGGCGAAAGCCUGACGGAGCAACGCCGCGUGAGUGAUGAAGGUCUUCGGAUCGUAAAACUCUGUUAUUAGGGAAGAACAUAUGUGUAAGUAACUGUGCACAUCUUGACGGUACCUAAUCAGAAAGCCACGGCUAACUACGUG